This 192-nucleotide ribosomal RNA is filed under the name Bacteroides caecigallinarum. RNAcentral's name for it is "partial 16S ribosomal RNA". It matches the Rfam family "Bacterial small subunit ribosomal RNA", at positions 1 to 179 of the family's 1533-position model. The record is from RNAcentral. Lineage: Bacteria; Pseudomonadati; Bacteroidota; Bacteroidia; Bacteroidales; Bacteroidaceae.
UUUUACAAUGAAGAGUUUGAUCCUGGCUCAGGAUGAACGCUAGCUACAGGCUUAACACAUGCAAGUCGAGGGGCAGCGGGAUUGAAGCUUGCUUCAAUUGCCGGCGACCGGCGCACGGGUGAGUAACGCGUAUCCAACCUUCCGUUUACUCGGGGAUAGCCUUUCGAAAGAAAGAUUAAUACCCGAUGGUAU